This is a long non-coding RNA of Fukomys damarensis (Damara mole-rat), 1489 nucleotides long. RefSeq lists it as uncharacterized. NCBI's taxonomy places the organism in Eukaryota, Metazoa, Chordata, Mammalia, Rodentia, Bathyergidae. The transcript is spliced from 8 exons. The record is from RefSeq and is a predicted model, not a curated record.
AAGGCCUGGGCCUCGGCUGGAGAACGUUGAACCCGAUUUUCUGUUUUAAUGUUUUAAGAAGCUUGGAAAACCGGCGAGAGUUAACUUAGGGGCCUUCGGGUGUUUUUGUUUAUUUAGUUAUUUAUUUUUAUUGUUAAGCAUCCGUCUAUGUGGCUGGAGCAGCACAGCAAAGCUGUUACACCGUCCGUUUAAAACACUCGCACACACAGCCCCAAAAUCUUGGGAGACCGUGUCUCAGGAAUUUUCCCAGAGAUUGCUUUAUAAUCUCAAGUUAGAGUUGGUACGGACAGCGCCACCAACACACUGAAUAGUAUCUUCCUUCACACGGGGAUCGAGGACCGGAAAUACCGUCACCUUUCAGCACUGAUUGCCGGGAACUGGAGCUCCAGGUGUUGGCGCGGGAGGCCCUGCGAGUGUGAGCAGAUUUUUGCCCAUGGUGCUUUUGUCUUUAUGCCCUGCAAACGAGUACUGAAGAAGAAAAGAUUAGGGCCAUGGUCUCCGUUGAGGGAGAUUGAAAGCAUUACUUGACAUGCUGUUCUCGGGAGGAAAAAGGUAAUGAGAACUCAUUAAAUCUGACGGAGGUACAGAAGAAGCGAGGACGCCUCAGAUACUUUUUUUGGUAGCUGUGUUUAUCGCCUGGAAAGACUAAGACUCAGGAAAACAGAAAACCACGAUCAGCAUCCGUAGACACCCCCACCCCACUCUCAGCGUGGUGAGCUGCCAGAGGGGUUGCCAGAAAAUCUCGUCAUGGGUGAAUCUACAGAGGUCUCCUUGGGAUUCUGUGAUGCUCGCCUGCCUAUAAGAAUCACCAAAAUGAUCAAAGCAGUAGCCUUGGGGAUUAGUUCAGACAUGCCCGAGAUAAUGGAUUUAAUCAAGGACAUCUUCAGGGCUAUUUAACAACAAUAUUUGAAAACCGGUUGGAGAGCACUCCCGCAGGCUAAUCACCAAGCAGUCAAUGCAUGGCCUUUGGAGGACAUUUUCGAUCCAGACCAGCCUUUAUCCUGAGACUAUCCAGGAGCCCAAGAGUUAUCGCAUUAGACUGUCAUCUGGGAAAUUCCAAGGUGUUAAGAUGAGUGAAACAAGGACAGGGCUGAGGAAGAAGAAUUGGUUAAAAGAGACGAAUUUGUGUGAGAGGGAAAAAGGAGCCUCUGCAGAAGUGAAGGAAGUUGAAGAUGAAGAGGUGCCCACUGCCCAGUCCCGAAGAGAAACCCAGUGGUCUGGUUGUUCCUGAUCAAGGCUGGCUCCAGCCGGAGCACAAGGAAGGUCUGGGGAGAGCGAUUUGCAUAGAACUGUUCGGUGUCUGCAACACUUCCCAAGCCUUCAAUAUUUAAGCCCAGCAGGGUUUGUAAUUCUACUACUUUGAGCUUGGGAAUCGAGAUGUACUGCCUCCAGGACAGGGGACAGACACCCCUUGAUUACCUGCUUCACAUCACCUUUCAUGUUUUAUUGUUGGAAAUAGACCCAUUGGAGGAUCACCUCAUUACCUUUU